This 75-nucleotide transfer RNA is filed under the name Acidobacteria bacterium OLB17. Its description in RNAcentral is "tRNA-Gly". It matches the Rfam family "tRNA". From Rfam's summary of the family: Transfer RNA (tRNA) molecules are approximately 80 nucleotides in length. Their secondary structure includes four short double-helical elements and three loops (D, anti-codon, and T loops). Further hydrogen bonds mediate the characteristic L-shaped molecular structure. tRNAs have two regions of fundamental functional importance: the anti-codon, which is responsible for specific mRNA codon recognition, and the 3' end, to which the tRNAs corresponding amino acid is attached (by aminoacyl-tRNA synthetases). tRNAs cope with the degeneracy of the genetic code in two manners: having more than one tRNA (with a specific anti-codon) for a particular amino acid; and 'wobble' base-pairing, i.e. permitting non-standard base-pairing at the 3rd anti-codon position. RNAcentral also lists the same sequence under 4 other names. The record is from RNAcentral. Lineage: Bacteria; Pseudomonadati; Acidobacteriota.
GCGGGUGUAACUCAAUGGUAGAGUGUCAGCUUCCCAAGCUGAAAGUUGCGAGUUCGAGCCUCGUCACCCGCUCCA